This is a long non-coding RNA of Myotis brandtii (Brandt's bat), 227 nucleotides long. RefSeq lists it as uncharacterized. Lineage: Eukaryota; Metazoa; Chordata; Mammalia; Chiroptera; Vespertilionidae. The record is from RefSeq and is a predicted model, not a curated record. The transcript has 3 exons.
AUUGGAGAAAGUGAAUUGUCCUACUGCUCAUACUUUUCAGGACAGAAGAUCAAGGACCAGUCAUCUGCACUAGUGACCAACUCAGUAACAUCCUGGUACCAGUUUUCCCUUCUUCCCUGAACCUUCACCUCUGCUCCUGAAGAUCGCUUGGAGAAUAAACCCUAUAUCCACCAACCAGAAGCAUCAUAUUAUGUAUUAAAUCACAUAUGGUGUGUCUCUUAAUCCAC